RNAcentral lists this long non-coding RNA (615 nucleotides) under Mytilus galloprovincialis (Mediterranean mussel). Lineage: Eukaryota; Metazoa; Mollusca; Bivalvia; Mytilida; Mytilidae. The record is from RNAcentral.
AGACGUAUGUCAUGUUAAAUGUCACCCUGUUUUAAGAAAAGAGUCAUUACUUUAUACCGAGAAUUCUGCCUUUCUUCGUACAAAUGCUAACAUUCGUCUGAAAUUUCCCACAAUGCAAAUCGUUGAUAUAAGACAAUAUCGCUUGUUGAUAUAAGAAAAACUUUUAUCGAAUCGCUUCUUCAAUAGACUGUGUUUAUCAUUUGGGACCAUGUAGUGCGCACUAUUUUAUGUGAUUUUGCUCUUUAUUGAAGUCGUAUGGUGAUCUUUAACUGUUGAUAAAAUCUGCGUGAUUUGGUCUCUGUUUGAAAGUUGUCUCACUCGUAUUCAACUUACAUCUUCGUAUUCUAUAAUAAUGAUGUAUUUAUAUAAUUUAACACUUUCUUUUUUAGUACAUUAAUUAGAAAUUGUUUUCAGUUUUUCAUAUUUUUUAUCAAGUUUUGUAAGCGACGUAUACAAUUCAGCACAUUUCUGUUUUAAAUAUGUUAACUGCUGACACGAAUGUUUCCUUAUUGACAAAUUUUAAAACUUGUAAUUGUUUAACACAAUGAGAUAACAUACUUCCUUUUUAUUACACACUCUGUAAUAUAAGACAUCUUUGCAUAUUGCGCAUCUUUG